RNAcentral lists this ribosomal RNA (809 nucleotides) under uncultured bacterium. RNAcentral's name for it is "bacterial SSU rRNA". It matches the Rfam family "Bacterial small subunit ribosomal RNA", at positions 8 to 796 of the family's 1533-position model. The record is from RNAcentral.
AGAGUUUGAUCAUGGCUCAGAGCNCGCUGGCGGCGUGCCUAACACAUGCAAGUCGAACGUGAACGGGGGCAACCCCUAGUAAAGUGGCGUACGGGUGAGUAACACGUAGGUAAUCUACCCUAGAGUCUGGAAUAACCGGCCGAAAGGCUGGCUAAUACUGGAUAGAGCGACGGAAUCCGUAAUUGGGUUUUUCGGGAAAGGGAGGUCGUAAGACCCUUCGCUCUAGGAUGAGCCUGCGUCCCAUCAGCUAGUUGGCGAGGUAACGGCUCACCAAGGCUAUGACGGGUAGCUGGUCUGAGAGGAUGAUCAGCCACACUGGAACUGAAACACGGUCCAGACUCCUACGGGAGGCAGCAGUGGGGAAUCUUGCGCAAUGGACGAAAGUCUGACGCAGCCACGCCGCGUGAGUGAAGAAGGCCUUCGGGUUGUAAAGCUCUGUCGGAAGGGACGAAAAUGGUCUGGGUUAACAGCCCAGGCAACUGACGGUACCUUCAAAGGAAGCACCGGCUAACUCUGUGCCAGCAGCCGCGGUAAUACAGAGGGUGCAAGCGUUGCUCGGAAUUAUUGGGCGUAAAGGGUAGGUAGGUGGUCUGAUUUGUCUGUUGGUGAAAUCCCGGGGCUUAACUCCGGAAGUGCCACAGAAACGGUCAGACUUUGAGUACUGGAGAGGUGAGCGGAAUUCCCGGUGUAGCGGUGAAAUGCGUAGAGAUCGGGAGGAACACCAGAGGCGAAGGCGGCUCACUGGACAGUUACUGACACUCAACUACGAAAGCGUGGGGAGCAAACAGGAUUAGAUACCCUAGUAGUCC